RNAcentral lists this ribosomal RNA (1326 nucleotides) under Lactiplantibacillus paraplantarum. RNAcentral's name for it is "bacterial SSU rRNA". It matches the Rfam family "Bacterial small subunit ribosomal RNA", at positions 60 to 1352 of the family's 1533-position model. Lineage: Bacteria; Bacillati; Bacillota; Bacilli; Lactobacillales; Lactobacillaceae. The record is from RNAcentral.
AGUCGAACGAACUCUGGUAUUGAUUGGUGCUUGCAUCAUGAUUUACAUUUGAGUGAGUGGCGAACUGGUGAGUAACACGUGGGAAACCUGCCCAGAAGCGGGGGAUAACACCUGGAAACAGAUGCUAAUACCGCAUAACAACUUGGACCGCAUGGUCCGAGUUUGAAAGAUGGCUUCGGCUAUCACUUUUGGAUGGUCCCGCGGCGUAUUAGCUAGAUGGUGGGGUAACGGCUCACCAUGGCAAUGAUACGUAGCCGACCUGAGAGGGUAAUCGGCCACAUUGGGACUGAGACACGGCCCAAACUCCUACGGGAGGCAGCAGUAGGGAAUCUUCCACAAUGGACGAAAGUCUGAUGGAGCAACGCCGCGUGAGUGAAGAAGGGUUUCGGCUCGUAAAACUCUGUUGUUAAAGAAGAACAUAUCUGAGAGUAACUGUUCAGGUAUUGACGGUAUUUAACCAGAAAGCCACGGCUAACUACGUGCCAGCAGCCGCGGUAAUACGUAGGUGGCAAGCGUUGUCCGGAUUUAUUGGGCGUAAAGCGAGCGCAGGCGGUUUUUUAAGUCUGAUGUGAAAGCCUUCGGCUCAACCGAAGAAGUGCAUCGGAAACUGGGAAACUUGAGUGCAGAAGAGGACAGUGGAACUCCAUGUGUAGCGGUGAAAUGCGUAGAUAUAUGGAAGAACACCAGUGGCGAAGGCGGCUGUCUGGUCUGUAACUGACGCUGAGGCUCGAAAGUAUGGGUAGCAAACAGGAUUAGAUACCCUGGUAGUCCAUACCGUAAACGAUGAAUGCUAAGUGUUGGAGGGUUUCCGCCCUUCAGUGCUGCAGCUAACGCAUUAAGCAUUCCGCCUGGGGAGUACGGCCGCAAGGCUGAAACUCAAAGGAAUUGACGGGGGCCCGCACAAGCGGUGGAGCAUGUGGUUUAAUUCGAAGCUACGCGAAGAACCUUACCAGGUCUUGACAUACUAUGCAAAUCUAAGAGAUUAGACGUUCCCUUCGGGGACAUGGAUACAGGUGGUGCAUGGUUGUCGUCAGCUCGUGUCGUGAGAUGUUGGGUUAAGUCCCGCAACGAGCGCAACCCUUAUUAUCAGUUGCCAGCAUUAAGUUGGGCACUCUGGUGAGACUGCCGGUGACAAACCGGAGGAAGGUGGGGAUGACGUCAAAUCAUCAUGCCCCUUAUGACCUGGGCUACACACGUGCUACAAUGGAUGGUACAACGAGUUGCGAACUCGCGAGAGUAAGCUAAUCUCUUAAAGCCAUUCUCAGUUCGGAUUGUAGGCUGCAACUCGCCUACAUGAAGUCGGAAUCGCUAGUAAUCGCGGAUCAG